GAAGACUCCCGACUGUUUACCAAAAACACAUUGCCACUCGUAAGGAACGUAUAAGGUGUGACGCCUGCCCGGUGCUCGAAGGUUAAGAGGAUGCGUCAGUCGCAAGAUGAAGCGUUGAAUUGAAGCCCGAGUAAACGGCGGCCGUAACUAUAACGGUCCUAAGGUAGCGAAAUUCCUUGUCGGUUAAAUACCGACCUGCAUGAAUGGCGUAACGAGAUGGGAGCUGUCUCAACCAGAGAUUCAGUGAAAUUGUAGUGGAGGUGAAAAUUCCUCCUACCCGCGGCAAGACGGAAAGACCCCGUGGACCUUUACUACAACUUAGCACUGCUAAUGGGAAUAUCAGCGCAGGAUAGGUGGGAGCUUUGAAGUAAGGGCUUUGGCUCUUAUGGAGCCAUCCUUGAG
This 402-nucleotide ribosomal RNA is filed under the name Helicobacter pylori. RNAcentral describes it as "bacterial LSU rRNA". It matches the Rfam family "Bacterial large subunit ribosomal RNA", at positions 1783 to 2196 of the family's 2925-position model. Lineage: Bacteria; Pseudomonadati; Campylobacterota; Epsilonproteobacteria; Campylobacterales; Helicobacteraceae. The record is from RNAcentral.